UUUGGAUUUUAUGUGCGGCUAAAUUCAUCGGUGUUUGGCCCAAAUAGGAAGCCAAAGUCAGUUAUUACCUUAACUUGAUUUUCUUGGUCGGUUUGAGGAAUUGAGACCCUCUAUUUCUCUCUCUCUUCCCGUGUGAAACCCCAACGAAACCCAAUUAGACCCCCAAACCCCUUUCCAUCUCCCGGUGCCCUGCAUUCCUCUCAAACUCUCACUUCCAAUCUCACGUUGUUACCCCUGCAGUUUGUCGGAGCUCCGCGCAUGGUCGGCGCUCUAGCCUUCCCCUUCUCCAUACUUGUUCGUUGUUGGGCUGCCGUGUCUAGAUGCUAGUCUACUCUCUUCUUCUUUGUCUUCUUCGUUCCCUGUCCUGUUCGUUGUUGUCCAGUGAUUUGCUGCGCGCGCUGUUUCAUCGUCGAAAGCUACCACUCCCCUGCGUUGCCGCCUACCUCGUCGGUGCUCUCCGCCGUUGUCGGAGCCCGGUCCCUCCCCUUGCCGUGUCUUCCCUACUCUUGAAGCAGAGGUAAAGCCUAAUUCUCUAUUUUCCUCUUGAAAUUCUAAUUUCAAGUUUUGUAAAUCAAGCCCGGUUUUUGUUUAUGUUGUUGAUAUUGUUGUUGUCCGAUGUUAUUGUUAUGUUGUCAUUGCUUCUCUUUGUGCUCAUGGUGGUGUUGGUGUUGGCUUGUCGUUGUUGGUUAUUGUUAUUGGUGUUAUAGUUGUGGUGAUUGUUGUGGAGUUGUUGUGGUGGAGUUGUUAUAUUGUUGUUGUUGUGUUGAUGUUGGAGUGGUUAAUAUGGAAUUGUUAUAAUGUUAGGUUUGAAUUGUGGUUAUAGGAUGGCAAAUUCAUUUUGCAUAACCUGUAAUUGCUGAGUUGAAUGAUAAACGUAUAUAGAUUCUAAGUUGAGAAUGCGUUAGGGUUAGGUGUCCUAGUUUUAUUAGUUUGAGAAUUGAGGAAUUAAGAUUAUUCUCGUAAAGGAUCUUUAAAUUAGGAAUUUGGUUAUUGUUUCCCUUUGUAGUUUAGAUUAGUUUAAGGAUAGUUAUUAAUUAUUGUUGUCGUUGUGAGGUGAUUGUUGGAGAAUGAUCAUGCAGUGGAGUAUUAUUUAGAGAUUAAGGAACUGGAUUGCAUUUCAGGUUUGGUAUCAAGAGCUCGGGAAUGGAAGUGAAGCGAGAUUAUGAUGUUGUGUUAGAUUAUGGAUUAAGUUUGUAUUUAGAUAGUAGAUUAAGGAAUAGUUACUGAUUUUUCAUUGUACAUAAUACUUGGAAAUUUAGUCGAAUUAUUGGUGUAUUUAAGGAUA
Molecule: long non-coding RNA, 1285 nt
Organism: Beta vulgaris subsp. vulgaris (sugar beet)
Lineage: Eukaryota; Viridiplantae; Streptophyta; Magnoliopsida; Caryophyllales; Amaranthaceae
Exons: 2
Source: RefSeq, a predicted model, not a curated record